AUUCAAGCAAAUGCCCCGCUAUGAAGGGGUUUGAAAC
RNAcentral lists this non-coding RNA (37 nucleotides) under Kouleothrix aurantiaca. Lineage: Bacteria; Bacillati; Chloroflexota; Chloroflexia; Chloroflexales; Roseiflexaceae. The record is from RNAcentral.